This is an RNA transcript of Malaya genurostris, 1738 nucleotides long. It is a transcript of the gene named lysoplasmalogenase-like protein TMEM86A, with no coding region annotated. The transcript is spliced from 5 exons. NCBI's taxonomy places the organism in Eukaryota, Metazoa, Arthropoda, Insecta, Diptera, Culicidae. The record is from RefSeq and is a predicted model, not a curated record.
GUCAGUCAGUACCUUCAGACACGUUGCGCCGGUCGGGUCAGUUUGUUACCGUUUCUCGCAUCGCUAUGCCGUUCAUUCAUUCUCGCGUCCAAUCAGUGUAAAUGCAUCGGCGAAUGAGCUGUAAAGUGCAUAAUCAUUCAUUCAGCUGAAGAUAAAAGCGUAAAUAUGAGCUGCAAUGUGCAAGUGAUCUUUGAGUUUUUCAAUUAUUGAAAUCAGAAUAGAAUACGGGAAUUUAUUAUUCGACGCGCACUCUAACCACGAAUCAAAGCAUAUCAACUUCGCGUCGUGUUUGUUUUUCAUCUUUAUAAAACGUAAAAAAACGAUCUAACAGUGUUAAAAAGCAAACCUCACUUUAUAGACGAAUCUAGCGUGAAAUUAAAAAUCGACUUGGUGCAGAGCUACGGUAUCAGCAGUUAGCAGCGCUUGAUAUUCGCUCAAGAAUAGGUUACCGUCUUUAGCUUCAAAACAAGAGCAGGCUAAUCUAAACGAAUGCUAAACUGAUAAUGGCGCGCCCAGACAUUGGUUCGAUGGUCAAAGUAGCCGCCCCUCGGAUGUUUCUAUUCUUCGUUACAGUGGUCCUGUACUUUGCGCUGAUUGGACAAACCGAACGACAGUCGGUUUCAUCUACCAUACUCAAAUGCUUACCAAUCGUGAGCUUGUGGAUAUUUGUCAUUUUGACAGGAAUCCAGCUAAAGAAAAGCUACCGGUACAAGCACUGGAUUCUAACUGGACUAAUCUUCUCCUGUCUGGGUGACCUACUGCUGAACUAUGAUCUGUUUGAAGCGGGUAUGGCUGCAUUCGGAGUGGCUCAAAUAUUCUACAUAUUGGCUUUCGGCUUCAAGCCUCUGAGGCCCUGGCUGGGGCUACCUCUGUAUGGUUUGGGAGCUGCCGCAGUCGUUCUCAUGUUUGACAACCUGCCAUUAAUCAUUAAAAUUUGUCUUCCAAUUUACGGUGCUCUCCUUCUCACGAUGUGCUGGCGAUCAUGGGCCCGGAUUGAUACCGUGAAAAAUACAAUACGACUGUCCUGUGGAGUUGGUAGCGCACUGUUCGUUAUUUCCGAUAGUAUUAUAGCGAUCGACAAAUUCUAUACUCCAGUGAAAAACGCACAGAUUGCCAUCAUGAUUACAUAUUAUGUGGCCCAAUUCGGAAUUGCACUAAGUGUCAUUGAUCAAACUACUACUACUACUACUACUACUACUACUACUACCCCAAAAACAUCGGUAGACAAAAAAACUGCCAACCUUCCGAAUCAACGCCAAAAUGGUAGGAAUCGUAGGAAAUUAACGUGAAGGAUGAUGACACAUACACGACACGAUAAACGACAGCUUCUAUAAAUACAUGCUACCAUCAUACACAAGAACUCUUUCAUUUAAGGUUUCUUCGCUGUCAAACAGUACCAUCGAUCCGCCUAUGAAAUUAACACCAGUGAGAAAUAGAAAAAAAAUCAGUACGAAAGCAACAUGUGGAGCAUUUAACUUAGCGUAAACUUACAUAUUUAAACUGUGAUCAAACAUCUUCCCUCAGGCAUUGAGGAUUAACCUACGCAUAUUUUGGCUGCCUUUGAAAAGGAAUGCCAUUACGUUAAACUUGGAACUCCGUAUUUGAUGCUACAUAUUACACGGACAUCGUUAAAUCCAAAAAGUUCAGUAGCUGUAGAAUUUGAGACUGUAAAUGUUGUUAUGUAUCUAGAAUACAUAUUUUACCUAUGAUAAAUAAAGUUUAAUCGUUUUCCGAUGAA